AUCCAUCUGACGAGUCCUGAAUGAGACGAAACACGUGUUCUAGAU
RNAcentral lists this non-coding RNA (45 nucleotides) under Schistosoma mansoni. Lineage: Eukaryota; Metazoa; Platyhelminthes; Trematoda; Strigeidida; Schistosomatidae. The record is from RNAcentral.